GCACAACGCGAAGAACCUUACCUGGGUUUGACAUGGCCGCAAAACCGGCAGAGAUGUCGGGUCCUUCGGGGCGGGUCACAGGUGGUGCAUGGCUGUCGUCAGCUCGUGUCGUGAGAUGUUGGGUUAAGUCCCGCAACGAGCGCAACCCUCGUUCGAUGUUGCCAGCGGUUCGGCCGGGGACUCAUCGAAGACUGCCGGGGUCAACUCGGAGGAAGGUGGGGAUGACGUCAAGUCAUCAUGCCCCUUAUGUCCAGGGCUUCACGCAUGCUACAAUGGCCGGUACAAUGGGCUGCGAUACCGUGAGGUGGAGCGAAUCCCAAAAAGCCGGUCUCAGUUCGGAUCGGGGUCUGCAACUCGACCCCGUGAAGUCGGAGUCGCUAGUAAUCGCAGAUCAGCAACGCUGCGGUGAAUACGUUCCCGGGUCUUGUACACACCG
This 436-nucleotide ribosomal RNA is filed under the name uncultured bacterium. Its description in RNAcentral is "bacterial SSU rRNA". It matches the Rfam family "Bacterial small subunit ribosomal RNA", at positions 954 to 1392 of the family's 1533-position model. The record is from RNAcentral.